UGAGGCAGGAGAAUUGCUUGAACCCAGGAGGUGGAGGUUGCAGUGAGCCGAGAUCAUGCCACUGCACUCCAGUCUGGGUGACACAGCGAGACU
This 93-nucleotide microRNA precursor is filed under the name Aotus nancymaae (Ma's night monkey). Its description in RNAcentral is "miRNA (ENSANAG00000010709.1)". Lineage: Eukaryota; Metazoa; Chordata; Mammalia; Primates; Aotidae. The record is from RNAcentral.